RNAcentral lists this ribosomal RNA (762 nucleotides) under uncultured Peptoniphilus sp. RNAcentral describes it as "partial 16S ribosomal RNA". The stretch from base 21 to 342 matches the Rfam family "Bacterial small subunit ribosomal RNA", at positions 48 to 357 of the family's 1533-position model. Lineage: Bacteria; Bacillati; Bacillota; Tissierellia; Tissierellales; Peptoniphilaceae. The record is from RNAcentral.
GACGAACGCUGGCGGCGUGCUUAACACAUGCAAGUCGAACGCUGAAGCCCAGCUUGCUGGGUGGAUGAGUGGCGAACGGGUGAGUAACACGCGAGUAACCUGCCCCCUUCUUUGGGAUAACGCCCGGAAACGGGUGCUAAUACUGGAUAUUCACUGGCCUUCGCAUGGGGGUUGGUGGAAAGGUUUUUUCUGGUGGGGGAUGUGCUCCCGGCCUGUUUGCAUGGAUUGUGGUGUGAUGACUGAUGGGUGGCAGUGCCGUGUAUAGUGAUUUUGUUGGUUGUUUCCGUUCUGUGGUGACUUUUUGCUCGGCUGAAACUUAAUGGUCAUGGACCUUUGUAGUGUUUUGAUCAAAAAUUUUGUGAUGGAUCAACUGUGUAGUGUUUGGUGUUGAGUUUUUCUGUGUUUGAUUUGCCCCCCCCCCCUCUGAAUGCCUGGGUUGGUGUUGGUGGGGGUGGUUGUGUGCGUGUGUGCGUGUGUGAUGUGUUGUGCCGUGUGAGUGGUUGUGGUGAUGUGACUGAUGUUCUGCUCGCUGUUGCUGUGUGUGCGUGCCCCCCCCCCCCCUUGUGCGGUGAUGUGCAUGGAGUCUGUUGCUGUUGGUUGUGUGAGUUGUGUGUGUGUGUGUGCGUGUGGCCUGCUGUUCUUAGCUACUGUUGUGUGUUACUGUAUGUGUGUUGCAUGAUUGAUGUCUGUGCUGUGGAUGCGCUCGCUGAUGUACUGUGUUGUUGUGAGUGCGUGAGUUGUUUUUGUACGUGUGCUGAUGUG